Molecule: long non-coding RNA, 500 nt
Filed under: Anas platyrhynchos platyrhynchos (common mallard)
Lineage: Eukaryota; Metazoa; Chordata; Aves; Anseriformes; Anatidae
Description: lncRNA (ENSAPLG00000017879.1)
Source: RNAcentral
UUAUUCUCAGCUCCUGUUAAGUCAUUCCUUAUGCUUUAGCUUGUUGAGUUUCUGAAAACAGCUUUUUAACUUAACCUUUGUGUAUUUAUUAUUUUUCCCCCAGACAUUUGAAUGAGAAGCAGUGGGUUAGGACAGAAGAAAGAAUGUUUGACAUCUAGCUGAUAUAUGAAGUAGAAGAAAGUUGGUUUCCAAUUUGCCUUUUUAUAAGAAUAAAAUGGCUCGGUGUGCUGGAGCUGGUCUGGAAAGCAGGAAAACCCAGCUAUAAAAGAACACUGAUGUAGCUUCAAAAUCAAGACCUAACAAGACAAGAUUGUAUGAUUUUUACUAUUUGAGGUGACAGAAAUGGAGUUUUAGAGGGAAAAAAAGGCAAAAAAAAAGAAAAGAAAACAAAAACUGUUGAACAGCUAAGACCUUCUUCUACUGAAGUGUAGCUAUUGAUGGUGGAAGAACUGAACAUUAAAAAAGAGCAACCCAUUUAAAAAACAGCUAGCCAACACAAU